RNAcentral lists this non-coding RNA (45 nucleotides) under Schistosoma curassoni. The record is from RNAcentral. Lineage: Eukaryota; Metazoa; Platyhelminthes; Trematoda; Strigeidida; Schistosomatidae.
AUCCAACUGACGAGUCCCAAAUGGGACGAAACGCGUGUCCUGGAU